GAUAGUGUGGCCGAAAUGGCACUAAACUGUAAAUUUAGCUAUAGGUUAAUCCUCCCUAUCU
Molecule: transfer RNA, 61 nt
Filed under: Calanus sinicus
Lineage: Eukaryota; Metazoa; Arthropoda; Copepoda; Calanoida; Calanidae
Description: tRNA-Tyr
Source: RNAcentral